Molecule: non-coding RNA, 99 nt
Organism: Acanthosepion pharaonis
Lineage: Eukaryota; Metazoa; Mollusca; Cephalopoda; Sepiida; Sepiidae
Source: the annotation of a GenBank genome assembly
CCGUUGAAACAUCAGUUCUCGUAUGAUCACUGAAGUUAAGUAAGGUUGAGGCUGGUCAGUACUUAGAUGGGUAACGAAUUGGGAAUACCAGGUGCAGUA